CCGGUUUCCCCAAUCUACCUCACUCCUUUUCCACUAAUCCUCAUAAAUAUCCUAAAUCAUUGAUUUAGGAAAAUGAGAUAAUUAGAUCAGAUCUACAGCAGCAAGGCCGCAAAGGGGACAAUCCCGGCGGCAAAUCCGGCGGCUGCGAUUCUAUUCAAAGCGGCUCCGCUUGCAGCAGGGGCUUUCGCGGGAGAGCCGGCGGGAGUACCAGCAGGCUCAGCGUCAGUGGGAGCAAGGUCAGGAGUCGAUGCCGGGGGAGCGAGGGGAGACUGAGCCGAGGACUCAUUGACCGGAGAAGCAGCCGGGGGCAUGGUCGUCGUCGGAGCGGGAGAUGAUUUGGGAGAAGAGGUCGGGGGCUUCACGGCGGGAGACGACGUAGAAGCAGGAGGAGUGACGGUGGGAGUGGCAGGAGUGGGUGAGCCCGACGGGGAAGCAACCUGCACAGCUCCGGGCUCCUGAGCACUGGCGGAUCCGGCCACCAAGGCAGCAUUAUGUUCAAUAAGGAUUAUAAGGAAAGUCCCAGACCUUGCAGAAAAUUUUAUAAAUUCUGCUGCUUCCCCGAUUAAAGAAAAGCACCAUGGAGUUUUAAUAACUGGGGUUUAGCUUUGUACAAUUCUAUGCAAAGUCAGUCCAGAGGCCCUUGAAUAUUUUAGGAAGAUUGACGAUUUCAAGGGUUGUUUGGAUCGUUGGCUAAGCAAGUGGAUAUUGCCUAGAGAGGUGGACUCUAGACUAAUUAAAGAGUGACCGGACGAGGGGAUAUCAUUUGAAGAAGGCGAACUCUAGCCUUACCCAAGGAGUGUUGUAAAGGUUUGUUCCGUCCGUUAAAAGAACAGGUUUAGUGAAUCCUUUGGUGGUUUACCAAAGGCGAGGACUUAGGCUGGGUAUAAGCCAAAUCUCGUAAAAAUCUCCGUCUCACUCUUUCUUUCCCUAUUUUUUAUUUUCAGUACAUAUUUAAAUUGAGUGGAUUGUUUAAAUUUAAAAUCAUAUAAACUACGUAAAUUUGGAAAUCAAGUAAACCUUAAAGUUUGAUUUUGAUUUGGGUUGCGGAAACCGAAAGGGAGUACGUUGGUUGAACCAUUCUUUGCGGAAACCAUACGGGAGUACGUUAAUUGGCUAAACAUCCCAAAGAUAAAUUAACUUAAGAGUUUAUUUGAAUUCUGAAGUUUGCAAAGAGUAAUUGGAUUUUAUAUUGAACAUCAUAUUGAAGAAGAAAUUUCAUAUAUACAGGGCUUUGUUCAAAACUCACAUUCACCACAGGGCUGAAAACAUCAAAAGUUGAAAGUUACAUAUAUUAUAUUGAUUGUGAUUAGAUGGUAUAAAGAUUUGUUUUAUAUUCCAAGAGUCUUAAAUCUUGAAUGAUUUCAUCAAUCUAAUAGUGCUGCAGUGAACUUAUAUUUGGUAAAUAAAUUGUGGUUGUGUUGGUUUGGAAAUUGUGAUUAAUUGUUUGAUUGUUUUUACUUUCAAAGUGUGGUUGAAGAUUUAAUGUUUAAUUGUGUUGUUGCUUGAUUGUUCAAAAGAAAUCAAGUUCUUGUUUGAUUGACAAAAUAAAUAAACAAGUCAAAUAAUUGGUUAAAUCACAAAAGAAGUUACGGACUUUAAAAGAACUAAAGAGAAAGUUUUAAAAAGCUAAUUCUUCCCCCCUCUUGGGAAGUUAUUCCUAAUUUCAAAAGUCAAUGAAAGUGGGCACAUCGCAAUGAUAAAUGGGUUCUCUGUAAGUGUUGGUUUUACUGGUAAAGAAACUAAAGGGAAAAUUGAUCAAUCUCGAAAAACAUCUGAAAAGCAGCUUCACACGUGGAAAUGGGAUCUUUGACAAUAAUGAAGGAGAAAAGUCUUCCUCACAAAAAACUACAAAGAAGCUGCAUAAUGGAUCAGUUGAGCCCAAGUCAGUCAAUGCUUUUCAAAGAGUGAAGAUUGAUGAGGUGAUUUUUGCUGAUCAGAGGCUUCAAGAUAAUUCUUAUUGGGCAAAGGUUUGAUAAGUAAUUUAGUCCCUCCCUCCCCCAUCCACCCCCACCCCAACCAAAAAAUGAAAAAGGAAACUCACAUAAAAAAAAAAAAAAGUUUUUCUUAUUGGUUCAUUUUUCUAUAAAUUCUCCUAAGGAUGGUGCAGAAAUUGGCUAUGGAGCUAAAGCACAAGAAGUUUUGGGGCAGGUUAGAGGAAGGUAUGUUUUACCAUCAGUUCAUAUACAUCACUUAAUAAAGCUGAAAGAUGUAUGGUGUUCAUUCUUUUUUCUGGGCAUACUAGGGAUAGCAACAUAGAUAGUCAAGUUUUGGAGUUCUCUUUUGAUCUUCUAAAUUUUUUAUAUGGGUUGGAACCCCCUUGAUGGCUUUUAGUAAUUUUUCUUGUCCAUGGCUAAAAAAUCAGUGUUUGCUUUGUUAUUGGCAAUGUUUUAAAAGGAAAAUGCUUAUGGCAAGGUUUUUUAACCCUUCCGGGGUGAGGCGUAAGCCUUUUUGAGAACAUUAUCUUUUAGGUAAUAAUAUGCAAAAAAUAAAGUGCAUAUGUUUUUAAAAAAUAAAGAAAAGAAAAAGAAAACUGCAAAUUCAAUGUAAAAAAUCCAAAUAUGAUUUGUAGACUACUUCUCCAAUUAAAAAAAAAAAAAAAACUAACUUGAAUUCAUUAAGUAAACCAUCCAAGAGAUGGUUUAUAACCGUUCAAAUCGUUUCAAGAUCUAACAUGUAACUCUCAAGUGUUUUGGAUAGGUUGAGUUUGAAGAGUUUUAUCACGAACUCAUAUUAGGACAUUCCUUUCAUACAAACACAUCCAAAUUUUCUAACUAAAUUUGACUUGGGAUUCACUCACCAAAGCUGCAUCAAACUCAAUUAGAAAAAGCGCAAAAAUGCACCUCUUGUAGAGAUGUGUAGGCCUCAGUGUGUAAUGUGUUGGCCUUUCUGGGAUUUGAUAUUUCAGACUUAGCCUCAUAGUGACCUUUGAUUGAGCCUUCUAAAACAUUGGUUAUUUGGAAAUGGUUCUUAUUUUUCACUUGCUUUCGUUAAUUAUGGUUCAUGUCCCUUAAUAUGGGUCAAAUUAGAUGGAGAAUUUUUCACAUUAAAUUUGUUUCUUCUCAUCUAAACACUUGUAGCUUCAAUAUAAACUGUUCUUCAAGAGAAUUAGUCAAAUGGAGACUUUAUUGAAUUUUCAAACCCUUUACAAAAGAUGAGGAAUAAAAAAAAUUGCAAAUAAUUCAAAAGAGAGAUAAAAAUAGAAAGAUUUUGUUUACUUUGAUUCUAGAGGCUUUUGGAGAAGGUUUCAAGGCUUUUUGCAUUUAAAAAUAGUGGCUUUUUAAAAUUAUUAAAUAAUAGGGUUUGAUUGGGAACCAAUUGGAUCUGGGUUGGAUGUGCACGCUUAUUGAAUUGUGAAGUGUUAAUUUGAAUCGAGAAUCGUAAUAUUCAUGAUCAAUUCUUUCCUACUUUAAUUUUUUUUUGUUAAAUUUGAACUGAAGGCUAGUGUGUUGAAUCAAAAGUGUAAUUCAUUUUCAUAACUAUGUUGUGCACCACUCCUUGUUGAUUGUAAUAGAAUAGAGAAUGUUAGAUUGUGCUCUGAACAUUAUGGGAAUCACUUGAAGGUUGCAGCAAGCUUGGUUUUGGGGGAGUUAUGGGCUUGGAAGGGUAUUCUGACUACCGAGAAAGGAACAUGAUUGUUGACCCAAUCCCCUUUAUUGUUUUUUGGCUUGUCAGAAAGGAAAGGGAUACGAGGGCUUUUGAGGGAGCGAAAAAUUCUCUCAAUACUGUAAAGGAUAUGUGGCUUACAA
Molecule: long non-coding RNA, 3746 nt
Organism: Malania oleifera
Lineage: Eukaryota; Viridiplantae; Streptophyta; Magnoliopsida; Santalales; Ximeniaceae
Exons: 4
Source: RefSeq, a predicted model, not a curated record